UAAGGCGAGGCCGACAGGCGUAGUCGAUGGAUGACGGGUUGAUAUUCCCGUACCGGCGAAGCACCGCCCAUGCUGACGCGCGGGUGCUAACCCACGCCCGGCCGCCAUGUAGGCCGCGCCUACUCCUUUCGGGGGGUGGUGUGGUUGUGGUGGUGGGGUCUGGGGAUCCUCCGUGCAGGUAGGCAAGCGUGUUAACAGGGGUGACGCACAGUGGUAGCCCGGCGGACCUGAUGGCUUGGUCCGUUCAAGCGCGCAGCCCGUCCUCCAGGUAAAUCCGGGGUGACUGUCUUUGAUGACGGGGGUGAGGCGUGAUGGUGACCUCACGUUGGUGGGGGAUAGCAGGGUGAUCCUGGGGUGCCGAGAAAAGCCUCGACGCGAUGGUGCCAGCCGCCCGUACCCUAAACCGACACAGGUGGUCGGGCAGAGUAUGCCUAGGCGCACGAGUGAAUCAUGGUUAAGGAACUCGGCAAAAUGCCCCCGUAACUUCGGGAGAAGGGGGGCCCGAUCCCUUGAAGCCCCGUGGCGGGCUAGGGGGGUGGGUCGCAGAGGCCAGGGGGAAGCGACUGUUUACUAAAAACACAGGUCCGUGCGAAGCCGUAAGGCGAUGUAUACGGACUGACGCCUGCCCGGUGCUGGAAGGUUAAGAGGAACCAUCAACCCUCGGGUGAAGUGGUGAAUUUAAGCCCCAGUAAACGGCGGUGGUAACUAUAACCAUCCUAAGGUAGCGAAAUUCCUUGUCGGGUAAGUUCCGACCUGCACGAAUGGCGUAACGACUUCCCCGCUGUCUCAACCAUGAGCUCGGCGAAAUUGCAGUACGAGUAAAGAUGCUCGUUUCGCGCAGAAGGACGGAAAGACCCCGGGACCUUUACUACAGCUUGGUAUUGGCGCCCGCUAUAGCUUGUGCAGGAUAGGUGGGAGACUGUGAAGCCGUUACGCCAGUAGCGGUGGAGUCGUCCUUGAAAUACCACUCUGGUUAUGGCGUGCGCCUGAACCUGGGCCCGUGAUCCGGGUUAGGGACAGUGCCUGGUGGGUAGUUUAACUGGGGCGGUUGCCUCCUAAAGUGUAACGGAGGCGCUCAAAGGUUCCCUCAGCCUGGUCGGCAACCAGGUGUUGAGUGCAAGUGCACAAGGGAGCUUGACUGUGAGACCGACGGGUCGAGCAGGUACGAAAGUAGGAACUAGUGAUCCGGCGAUCCCGUGUGGGUGGGUCGUCGCUCAACGGAUAAAAGGUACCCCGGGGAUAACAGGCUGAUCCUGCCCAAGAGUCCAUAUCGACGGCAUGGUUUGGCACCUCGAUGUCGGCUCGUCGCAUCCUGGGGCUGGAGCAGGUCCCAAGGGUUGGGCUGUUCGCCCAUUAAAGCGGUACGCGAGCUGGGUUUAGAACGUCGUGAGACAGUUCGGUCCCUAUCCUCUGCGCGCGCAGGAGACUUGAGAAGGCCUGUCCCUAGUACGAGAGGACCGGGACGGACGAACCUCUGGUAUGCCAGUUGUUCCGCCAGGAGCACGGCUGGUUAGCUACGUCCGGACAUGGAUAACCGCUGAAAGCAUCUAAGCGGGAAACCAUCUUCAAGACCAGGUCUCCACCACCCCCUCCUUUCUUUUUCGCUAUAGUGAAUAGAGGGGAGGGGUGGGAAGGCCCCCAGAUGAUGACUGGGUUGAUAGGCCGGAGGUGGACACCCAGUAACGGGUACCAAGCCGACCGGUACUAACACGGCCGAUCACACACAA
Molecule: ribosomal RNA, 1727 nt
Filed under: human oral metagenome
Description: bacterial LSU rRNA
Rfam family: Bacterial large subunit ribosomal RNA
Source: RNAcentral